UUAAGCGACUAAGCGUACACGGUGGAUGCCCUGGCAGUCAGAGGCGAUGAAGGACGUGCUAAUCUGCGAUAAGCGCCGGUAAGGUGAUAUGAACCGUUAUAACCGGCGAUUUCCGAAUGGGGAAACCCAGUGUGACUCGUCACACUAUCAUUAACUGAAUCCAUAGGUUAAUGAGGCGAACCGGGGGAACUGAAACAUCUAAGUACCCCGAGGAAAAGAAAUCAACCGAGAUUCCCCCAGUAGCGGCGAGCGAACGGGGAGGAGCCCAGAGCCUGAAUCAGCAUGUGUGUUAGUGGAAGCGUCUGGAAAGGCGCGCGAUACAGGGUGACAGCCCCGUACACAAAAGCGCAUGUGCUGUGAGCUCGAUGAGUAGGGCGGGACACGUGGUAUCCUGUCUGAAUAUGGGGGGACCAUCCUCCAAGGCUAAAUACUCCUGACUGACCGAUAGUGAACCAGUACCGUGAGGGAAAGGCGAAAAGAACCCCGGCGAGGGGAGUGAAAAAGAACCUGAAACCGUGUACGUACAAGCAGUGGGAGCNNGUGACUGCGUACCUUUUGUAUAAUGGGUCAGCGACUUAUAUUCUGUAGCAAGGUUAACCGAAUAGGGGAGCCGGAGGGAAACCGAGUCUUAAUUGGGCGUUAAGUUGCAGGGUAUAGACCCGAAACCCGGUGAUCUAGCCAUGGGCAGGUUGAAGGUUGGGUAACACUAACUGGAGGACCGAACCGACUAAUGUUGAAAAAUUAGCGGAUGACCUGUGGCUGGGGGUGAAAGGCCAAUCAAACCGGGAGAUAGCUGGUUCUCCCCGAAAGCUAUUUAGGUAGCGCCUCGUGAAUUCAUCUCCGGGGGUAGAGCACUGUUUCGGCUAGGGGGCCAUCCCGGCUUACCAACCCGAUGCAAACUGCGAAUACCGGAGAAUGUUAUCACGGGAGACACACGGCGGGUGCUAACGUCCGUCGUGAAGAGGGAAACAACCCAGACCGCCAGCUAAGGUCCCAAAGUCAUGGUUAAGUGGGAAACGAUGUGGGAAGGCCCAGACAGCCAGGAUGUUGGCUUAGAAGCAGCCAUCAUUUAAAGAAAGCGUAAUAGCUCACUGGUCGAGUCGGCCUGCGCGGAAGAUGUAACGGGGCUAAACCAUGCACCGAAGCUGCGGCAGCGANNGUUGGGUAGGGGAGCGUUCUGUAAGCCUGCGAAGGUGUGUCGUGAGGGAUGCUGGAGGUAUCAGAAGUGCGAAUGCUGACAUAAGUAACGAUAAAGCGGGUGAAAAGCCCGCUCGCCGGAAGACCAAGGGUUCCUGUCCAACGUUAAUCGGGGCAGGGUGAGUCGACCCCUAAGGCGAGGCCGAAAGGCGUAGUCGAUGGGAAACGGGUUAAUAUUCCCGUACUUGGUGUUACUGCGAAGGGGGGACGGAGAAGGCUAUGUUGGCCGGGCGACGGUUGUCCCGGUUUAAGCGUGUAGGUGUGUGUUCCAGGUAAAUCCGGUUCACUUUAACACUGAGGCGUGAUGACGAGGCACUACGGUGCUGAAGCAACAAAUGCCCUGCUUCCAGGAAAAGCCUCUAAGCAUCAGGUAACAUCAAAUCGUACCCCAAACCGACACAGGUGGUCAGGUAGAGAAUACCAAGGCGCUUGAGAGAACUCGGGUGAAGGAACUAGGCAAAAUGGUGCCGUAACUUCGGGAGAAGGCACGCUGACACGUAGGUGAAGUGAUUUACUCAUGGAGCUGAAGUCAGUCGAAGAUACCAGCUGGCUGCAACUGUUUAUUAAAAACACAGCACUGUGCAAACACGAAAGUGGACGUAUACGGUGUGACGCCUGCCCGGUGCCGGAAGGUUAAUUGAUGGGGUCAGCGCAAGCGAAGCUCCUGAUCGAAGCCCCGGUAAACGGCGGCCGUAACUAUAACGGUCCUAAGGUAGCGAAAUUCCUUGUCGGGUAAGUUCCGACCUGCACGAAUGGCGUAAUGAUGGCCAGGCUGUCUCCACCCGAGACUCAGUGAAAUUGAACUCGCUGUGAAGAUGCAGUGUACCCGCGGCAAGACGGAAAGACCCCGUGAACCUUUACUAUAGCUUGACACUGAACAUUGAGCCUUGAUGUGUAGGAUAGGUGGGAGGCUUUGAAGCGUGGACGCCAGUCUGCGUGGAGCCGACCUUGAAAUACCACCCUUUAAUGUUUGAUGUUCUAACGUGGACCCGUAAUCCGGGUUGCGGACAGUGUCUGGUGGGUAGUUUGACUGGGGCGGUCUCCUCCUAAAGAGUAACGGAGGAGCACGAAGGUUGGCUAAUCCUGGUCGGACAUCAGGAGGUUAGUGCAAUGGCAUAAGCCAGCUUGACUGCGAGCGUGACGGCGCGAGCAGGUGCGAAAGCAGGUCAUAGUGAUCCGGUGGUUCUGAAUGGAAGGGCCAUCGCUCAACGGAUAAAAGGUACUCCGGGGAUAACAGGCUGAUACCGCCCAAGAGUUCAUAUCGACGGCGGUGUUUGGCACCUCGAUGUCGGCUCAUCACAUCCUGGGGCUGAAGUAGGUCCCAAGGGUAUGGCUGUUCGCCAUUUAAAGUGGUACGCGAGCUGGGUUUAGAACGUCGUGAGACAGUUCGGUCCCUAUCUGCCGUGGGCGCUGGAGAACUGAGGGGGGCUGCUCCUAGUACGAGAGGACCGGAGUGGACGCAUCACUGGUGUUCGGGUUGUCAUGCCAAUGGCACUGCCCGGUAGCUAAAUGCGGAAGAGAUAAGUGCUGAAAGCAUCUAAGCACGAAACUUGCCCCGAGAUGAGUUCUCCCUGAGACUU
RNAcentral lists this ribosomal RNA (2777 nucleotides) under Salmonella enterica subsp. enterica serovar Infantis. RNAcentral describes it as "bacterial LSU rRNA". It matches the Rfam family "Bacterial large subunit ribosomal RNA". Lineage: Bacteria; Pseudomonadati; Pseudomonadota; Gammaproteobacteria; Enterobacterales; Enterobacteriaceae. The record is from RNAcentral.